This is an RNA transcript of Scleropages formosus (Asian bonytongue), 2279 nucleotides long. RefSeq lists it as uncharacterized. NCBI's taxonomy places the organism in Eukaryota, Metazoa, Chordata, Actinopteri, Osteoglossiformes, Osteoglossidae. The record is from RefSeq and is a predicted model, not a curated record. The transcript has 2 exons.
AUCAAUACUUAUGAGUACUUGGGCAUUGGUCCUUAGUUUUCUUUCUACUUCAUUUAAAGUUUUUCCUGGCCAGCUGUGGCCUACUGUGGUCCAAGAGCUUUGGUUCCAGUAUUUUCUAAUUUAACGUUCUUUUGAUAAGAUUAUACUUUAGAGGUACAAUCUUAGAAAAGUGGCUGUUGCCACUAAUAUCUCUGAUUUCUGCGGAGCAGCAUCUUCCCACUCUCCUCCUAUGAGCACCCCGAGUAACUUUGUUUCACUUUCUUCCAGGGGGUUUCCUAGAUCUGUGGCCAGGAAUCGAGAGAAUAAGUCUUUUCUUUAACUCAACCACUCAAAAACUUCCAAUCUCUGUCUCAUCCAUUUUUUAGAUGUCCAAAAGAGAUGAAAAGUAGUUUCCUUUCCACCACCACAGAAGCGACAGAUCAUCUUAAAUCUACUAUAAAUUUUACCUGUGGCUUCAGGUAGCCUUUAUUUUAUGUAAUAAUGGCCCAAAAGCGCAAGACUAGUGAUGCUGGCAAUUCAGAUAUGCCAAAGAGAAGCCGUAAUGUGCUUCCUUUAAGUGAAAAGAUGAAAGUUCUCGACUUGAUAAGGAAAGAAAAAAAAUCAUAUGCUGAAGUUGCUAAGAUGUAUGAGAAGAAUGAAUCUUCUAUCCGUGAAAUUGUGAAAAAGGAAAAAGAAAUCCGUGCUAGUUUUGCCAUCGCACCUCAAACUGCUAAAGUUACGGCCACGGUGCGUAAUAAGUGCUUAGUUAAGAUGGAAAAAGCAUUAAAUUUGUGGGUGGAAGACAUGAACAGAAAAUGUGUUUCAAUUGACGGUAACAUGUUGCGUCAGAAAGCAUUAAGACUAUAUGAAGAUUUUAGCAAGGGAUCCCCUGAAAUGAGUGACACCAAGCCAUUUACUGCAAGUAAGGGAUGGUUACACAGAUUCAGGAAUAGGUUUGGACUGAAAACUAUAAAAAUUAUUGGGGAGGAUAAGUCUGCAUGUGAAGAAGCUGCGACCACAUUUCCAGGAGAAUUGAAGAAGUUGAUUAAGGAGGAAUUGGAAGAACUUGUUCAGUCACCUACAGAGGAGGAGGAAGAUGAAGAAGAAAUUGAAGCAGAACCAGCAAUGUGGAAAUUCGAAACACUUCGGCAAGUUUCUGUACAGAGUAGUGGUGCUGGCAAUUCAGACAUGCCAAAGAGAAACCGUAAUGUGCUUCCUUUAAGUGAAAAGGUGAAAGUUCUUGACUUGAUAAGGAAAGAAAAAAAAUCAUAUGCUGAAGUUGCUAAGAUCUACAGGAAGAACGAAUCUUCUAUUCGUGAAAUUGUGAAAAAGGAAAAAGAAAUCCGUGCUAGUUUUGCCAUCGCACCUCAAACUGCUAAAGUUACGGCCACAGCGCGUGAUAAGUGCUUAGUUAAGAUGGAAAAAGCAUUAAAUUUGUGGGUGGAAGACAUGAACAGAAAAUGUGUUCCAACUGACGGUAACAUGUUGCGUCAGAAAGCAUUGAGCUUAUAUGAAGACUUCAGCAAGGAAUCCCCUGGAAUGAGUGACACCAAGCCAUUUACUGCAAGUAAGGGGUGGUUACACAGAUUCAGGAAUAGGUUUGGACUUAAAACUAGAAAAAAUACUGGAGAGGCUGCAUCUGCUGAUGAAGAAGCUGCUUCCACAAUUCCAGGAGAGAUGAAGAAGUUGAUUAAAGAGGAAUUGCAAGAAUUUAAGUCUUCUACAGAGGAAGAUGAAGCAGAACCAGCAAUGUGGACAUUACAGAAACUUGACGAAGUGUUUCGAAUUGCACAAACGUUAAAGGACAAAGUUAUGGAAUAUGAUCCUCGGAUGGAACGCAGCAUUAAAGUCAACUGUAUGAUCACCAAAGGAUUACAACCACUGCAGCAACAUUUUGAUGAGUUAAACAGAAACAGACAACAACUUCCAAUGACAAUGCUUUUCCAAAAGGUUUUGGCAAAAAACCCUUCAGCUAUUGAGGAUCUCCAACCAUCAUCAUCACUUGAUGAUCCAGGAUCACCUAAAGCAGAUGAUCUUCCUCCUGUCGUAUCAUCAGAAGGUCAAAAGUAGCAUAACACUACUUCGCAACACCUACGUCAUUCGCCUCACUUUACCUCAUCACGUAGGCAUUAUAUCAUCAUCACAAGACCGAAGAAGGGCAGAUGUUGAACAGAAGAAGAAGCGUACUUUCAGGAAAUUCACUUAGAGGUGUGGACCUGGACCAGCUUCUGGACAUGUCUUACUAAGUUGCUCUAUGGCUGCCAUCACUGGUUAGUGAGUUUUAGCAGGAGGAAUAAUUG